UUUUCAUUUCUUUUUUUUUUUUAUAAUGAAUUUUCUUUAUUGUAACAAAUAGACUAGCACAACAUGUAUGAACAAAGGUGUACAGAAUGGCAUUUUAACACAAAAGAAGUAUUAUAUAAUAAAACAACAAUUGAAUAUAUAUGGUGGUGCAAUAGUAGCUUGAAAAUAAAUAAAUAUCUUAUAACAUUGAAGUCUUACUUGUUCUUGCGAUAUGCAUAAGUGGUGUUUCAAUCAAAAUUUUAACAUUUAUUAUUUAUUCUAUGAUAGGGGCCCAGGGACUCCAGUAUUUGUUAUAUUCCUCUACAGAGAGGUUUUUAAAUGAAAUGUAUUUUUCUAAAUUCAAGUGUUCCUUUAAAUAGUUUUUUAAAGCAUUUAAAUUUGGCAAAACUUCUUGUAGUUUUGUUCGGUAGAUGUAGUAUUUUGAAAAAAGAAUAAUCUUAUUUUUAACAAAAUUCAAUUUAACAUUUUCUAAGAUACCAAAUAAAAUAAUCAUAAUAUUCAAAGGCAGUUCAAUAUUUGUCAUUUCAAAAAUCCAAAUGUUUAGUGCAUGCCAGAGACUGGCGACCAUCGGACAGCUCCAAAAUAAAUGUUCUAUGGUCUCUGGUCCUUCUUUACAAAAUGUACACAUGUUGUUACUAUUUAUUUUCAUCUUGUAAAGUAGUGAAUUAGUUCCCAAAAUUCUAUGGAUAAUUCUAUAUUGGAACCAGCUAAGCUUAGUGCUUUUACUAUAUUUUGUACACGAAGUGUGUAUUUUUUUCCAGUUAAUACCAGUCAUAUUAAGAUGGUUCUCCCAUUUUUCCUUUGCAGCAAAUGUAAUAUAUUUUUCAUUCAAUAUGUUGUACAUGUCUUUUGAACCUUUUUUUGAUUCAAAAAAGAUACUUAUGUUAAAAGGUAUUAUUGCAUGAAUUUUUCUCUCGUUUACUUCAAUAUUUAUCGUGUUUAACCACUCAUUAAGCGAGUGUGCUAUUCCAUAAUAAUGUAAAAUAUUUGGCCUAAAUUGAUAUAAUUGUUGGAAAUUUUGAAAUGACAUAACUUUGCCCUGGUCAUCUAACAAAUCUUGCACUGUCCAAAUUCCCGCAUUUGCCCAGUUUUUAUAGUAGACUCUUGAACCACCAAUUUUAAAGUUUUCUACCUCCCAUAAAGAAUAAGAUAGAAUUUCAUCAAUACAUCUUGGUUUUCUAAUUUGAUUAAGGGUUUUCCAAGCAUCAAAAACUUCUUGCCAAAAUUUAUUUGAUGACCUUUUAAUAGGCCCAAUAUAACUUAUUUCAAUAAAAUUUAUUUGCUCCACAAUAGAGACUAAUCUCACCCACUUUGAAUUCGAAUUAUACAAACGUCUCACCCAUGUAAGUUUUAG
This 1354-nucleotide long non-coding RNA is filed under the name Mytilus galloprovincialis (Mediterranean mussel). The record is from RNAcentral. Lineage: Eukaryota; Metazoa; Mollusca; Bivalvia; Mytilida; Mytilidae.